ACAGUCUUGGGCUAGUGGUUAUGCUGCACGCUUCCCAAACAGGAAUUCAGCGUGCGACGCGAGUUCGAAUCUCGCAGGCUGUA
Molecule: non-coding RNA, 83 nt
Organism: Auriculariales sp. MPI-PUGE-AT-0066
Lineage: Eukaryota; Fungi; Basidiomycota; Agaricomycetes; Auriculariales
Source: the annotation of a GenBank genome assembly